Molecule: ribosomal RNA, 502 nt
Filed under: uncultured Glomus
Lineage: Eukaryota; Fungi; Glomeromycota; Glomeromycetes; Glomerales; Glomeraceae
Description: SSU rRNA
Rfam family: Eukaryotic small subunit ribosomal RNA
Source: RNAcentral
AGCAGCCGCGGUAAUUCCAGCUCCAAUAGCGUAUAUUAAAGUUGUUGCAGUUAAAAAGCUCGUAGUUGAAUUUCGGGAUCAGUGGGUCGGUCGUGCCACUGGUAUGCACUGGCUCUACUGGUUCCUCCUUCUUGAAGAACUGUAAUGCCAUUAAUUUGGUGUUGCAGGGAAACAGGACUGUUACUUUGAAAAAUUAGAGUGUUUAAAGCAGGCAAUCGCUUGAAUACAUUAGCAUGGAAUAAUGAAAUAGGACGUUCGAUCCUAUUUUGUUGGUUUCUAGGAUUGACGUAAUGAUUAAUAGGGAUAGUUGGGGGCAUUAGUAUUCAAUUGUCAGAGGUGAAAUUCUUGGAUUUAUUGAAGACUAACUACUGCGAGAGCAUUUGCCAAGGAUGUUUUCAUUAAUCAAGAACGAAAGUUAGGGGAUCGAAGACGAUCAGAUACCGUCGUAGUCUUAACCAUAAACUAUGCCGACUAGGGAUCGGAUGAUGUUAAUUUUUAAUGA